This 513-nucleotide ribosomal RNA is filed under the name uncultured bacterium. Its description in RNAcentral is "partial 16S ribosomal RNA". It matches the Rfam family "Bacterial small subunit ribosomal RNA", at positions 28 to 507 of the family's 1533-position model. The record is from RNAcentral.
GACGAACGCUGGCGGCGUGCUUAACACAUGCAAGUCGAACGAAAAGAGGGAAAGAGCUUGCUCUUUCCGGAAUUGAGUGGCAAACGGGUGAGUAACACGUAAACAACCUGCCUUCAGGAUGGGGACAACAGACGGAAACGACUGCUAAUACCGAAUAAGUUCCAAGGGCCGCAUGGCCCAUGGAAGAAAAGGUGGCCUCUACCUGUAAGCUAUCGCCUGAAGAGGGGUUUGCGUCUGAUUAGCUGGUUGGAGGGGUAACGGCCCACCAAGGCGACGAUCAGUAGCCGGGCUGAGAGGAUGGACGGCCACCCUGGAAUUGGGACCCGGUCCAGACUCCUACGGGAGGCAGCAGUGGGGAAUCUUCCGCAAUGGGCGAAAGCCUGACGGAGCAACGCCGCGUGAGUGAUGACGGCCUUCGGGUUGUAAAACUCUGUGAUCCGGGACGAAAAGGCAGAGUGCGAAGAACAAACUGCAUUGACGGUACCGGAAAAGCAAGCCACGGCUAACUACGUG